GAAUUUAAAAUUGUGCAGUGGUGCUGAUGUGGAUUCCUGAGGCUCUGGGACAGGACAACCAAUCACACAGGAGUCUGGCAUUCAUGUCUCUGGACUCCUUGGGACAUUUCUGGUCUACUUCUGAAGAAUCCACAAAAGGUAAUUGAGGAGAGUAAAUCUAUUGCCAGCCAUCUUCGGUUUGCUAUAUAAGGACCACUGCAUAUCUUCUGGAAAAUGCUUAAGACUCUUCACAUUGAUAUAAGCACAGAUAUAUUUUUGAUCACCACAAGAUUGUCCAUUUGGAUUAGACUGUGAAGCACCAUUUUAUUGGACACAAGGUACCCACCCUGCUGGCAGUGUGUGAAACAGACUGACACAUGCCACAUUCAUUCACAGCUAUUUUAUCUCCUCCUUUGUUCUAACAUCUAUAAUGUUAUGCAUAAUUUCUUUCAUAAUUUUUUCAGUGCACCAUCAGCUGUCAGUGUGGCAGGUGGCCGUCAGCCUGCAAUACAUAGCUGCAGAGAUGGAGAGAACUUUUCAAGAGCAAGUGAACAGGGAGAAUGCAAGGCCAUUAGCAAAGCACACCAAAA
Non-coding RNA from Lonchura striata (white-rumped munia), 569 nucleotides. The record is from RefSeq and is a predicted model, not a curated record. NCBI's taxonomy places the organism in Eukaryota, Metazoa, Chordata, Aves, Passeriformes, Estrildidae.